CUACGGGGGGCUGCAGUGGGGAAUAUUGGACAAUGGGGGAAACCCUGAUCCAGCAAUGCCGCGUGUGUGAAGAAGGCCUGCGGGUUGUAAAGCACUUUCGGUUGGGAGGACUGCUUCUAGCACUAAUAUUGUUGGAAGUUGACGUUACCUUCAGAAGAAGCACCGGCUAACUCCGUGCCAGCAGCCGCGGUAAUACGGAGGGUGAAAGCGUUAAUCGGAAUUACUGGGCGUAAAGCGCGCGUAGGCGGCUAGAUCAGUCGGGUGUGAAAGCCCCGGGCUUAACCUGGGAACUGCAUCCGAUACUGUCUAGCUUGAGUACAGGAGAGGAGAGUUGAAUUCCACAUGUAGCGGGGAAAUGCGUAGAUAUGUGGAGGAACACCAAUGGCGAAGGCAGCUCUCUGGCCUGAUACUGACGCUGAGGUGCGAAAGCGUGGGGAGCAAACAGGAUUAGAUACCCGGGUAGUC
Molecule: ribosomal RNA, 465 nt
Filed under: uncultured bacterium
Lineage: Bacteria
Description: partial 16S ribosomal RNA
Rfam family: Bacterial small subunit ribosomal RNA
Source: RNAcentral